RNAcentral lists this unclassified non-coding RNA (701 nucleotides) under Hevea brasiliensis (rubber tree). The record is from RNAcentral. Lineage: Eukaryota; Viridiplantae; Streptophyta; Magnoliopsida; Malpighiales; Euphorbiaceae.
ACUUCCCCAGUCAAAGUUGGGUGUUCCCAGUACAUGUUCUUCAGAUUUUCAGAGUACCCUGAAUUUAAUGAUGUCACUAAAACAGCUUUCAAUUUUGGGUUUUCGGAAAGAGUAACAACAGAGUCUUGCAUAUCUACCUCAGGCAACAGUUUCUCCUUCAGAGUACAGGCUAAAAUUUGAUCCAUCACAUGUUUAAAUGGACCAGGUCUUGAAUCAAAAACUCUUAUUUGAAUGCCAAUGCUCUCAUCUGCCUUUGCCAAGUAAAUUUGAUAAUACCUUGUGAUUAGUCCCCAUACAUGAUCUGAGGGGUGGAAAAGGUACCGCCCCAGGUGAUGGAAAAUGGUUCCUUUUUCAGGAAAUAAUUUGCUUAGCUCUUGCUCAAAAGAAGUGAUCAAGAAAAGAGAAGGGACAAAGUAGUUAUCUGUUUUUGUAAUCAACCAGGGGGCUUUUGCAAGAAGAGAUUGAUCUUCAUCACAGAAGAAGAGCUUAUCAUGAUCAUCAUAAUCAUGAACUAGGUGGAGGUAUAGAUAAGAUGGGACCGAUUCUGCUGAAGCAUUUAAGACACUAUUCUUCAGCAUUUUCCCAUAACAAUGAGAAGAUUUCUGAUCAAAGCUUUCAAAUUGACCAAUGAAAGGGAAAUCCAUGGGCAGAAACCAUGAUUUCUCUGGAAACGGCUCACAGAAGAGGUCAGCCAUGUCCUU